Molecule: ribosomal RNA, 872 nt
Filed under: Auricularia thailandica
Lineage: Eukaryota; Fungi; Basidiomycota; Agaricomycetes; Auriculariales; Auriculariaceae
Description: eukaryotic LSU rRNA
Rfam family: Eukaryotic large subunit ribosomal RNA
Source: RNAcentral
UCCCCUAGUAACGGCGAGUGAAGCGGGAAGAGCUCAAAUUUGAAAUCUGGCGGUCUCAGGCCGUCCGAGUUGUAAUCUAGAGAGGUGUUUUCCGUGCCGGACCGUGUACAAGUCCCUUGGAACAGGGCGUCAUAGAGGGUGAGAAUCCCGUCCAUGACACGGACUACCGGUGCUCUGUGAUACACCUUCAAAGAGUCGAGUUGUUUGGGAAUGCAGCUCAAAAUGGGUGGUAAAUUCCAUCUAAAGCUAAAUACAGGCGAGAGACCGAUAGCGAACAAGUACCGUGAGGGAAAGAUGAAAAGAACUUUGGAAAGAGAGUUAAACAGUACGUGAAAUUGUUGAAAGGGAAACGCUUGAAGUCAGUCGCGUCUGCCAGGACUCAGCCUUGCUUUUGCUUGGUGCACUUCUUGGUGGAUGGGCCAGCAUCGAUUUUGGCCGCCGGAAAAGGGCGGGAGGAAUGUGGCAGCUUUUGCUGUGUUAUAGCCUUCCGUCGUACACGGUGGUUGGGAUCGAGGACUGCAGCACGCCUUUGGUCGGGGUUCGCCCACGCCACGUGCUUAGGAUGCUGGCGUAAUGGCUUUAAACGACCCGUCUUGAAACACGGACCAAGGAGUCUAACAUGCCUGCGAGUGUUUGGGUGCAAAACCCAGGCGCGUAAUGAAAGUGAAAAGUUGGGACUCUUUAGUGAGGCACCGACGCCCGACCCUGAAGUCUUCUGACGGGUUUGAGGCAGAGCAUGUAUGUUGGGACCCGAAAGAUGGUGAACUAUGCCUGAAUAGGGUGAAGCCAGAGGAAACUCUGGUGGAGGCUCGUAGCGAUUCUGACGUGCAAAUCGAUCGUCAAAUUUGGGUAUAGGGGCGAAAGACUAAUCG